GCUAGCUUCACUGUGGUGACUGUGAUACUGUUAUUCUGCGCGACCAACGGAAAGCGUUCACAAAGAGAGAAACUAAGAAACAAGAACAAUUAUUUAAAUCAACCUCAUAAAACCAAGUUUGACGACCAAUUGCUGCACAAACAAAUAAAGACUUUGAAAGCAGACAAUAACGCAUGUUCCGGGAACAUCAAUAAUCAACCGAAUAUCUUCAGUCAAACAGAUGAAUCACUCAACCCAUUCAACGAUGGAGAUAGUUUUGCUCUAAUUAGACGGGACAUCAAUGAAAAAAUGGAACUUACAGAGUUGCUCAACAAGUGGGAAAUUCUAAAGACGCAAGAUGGACUCUUCGAACACUUUAAGAAUCUAACAGAAACUGACAUCCAAACUAUGACUCCAAAGCUCAGGGAUAAAUACAGUUAUGCUUUACUUUGCAUGCAUGAAGAAAGAAUUCGAAGGAGAAAAAGACCUGGAGAAAUUCAUAAAAGCGAUUUGCCACUAUUUCAAGGAAGAUGCUGACACAAUUUUGCAACACCGAGAGAUCAAUUCGCAAAAUCUCAUGACGUCACAUCCUGGGGUUUAUAAUAGAAAACACAGGAGAUCACAUGAUAUUCUACAAAGGGCAGGAGAUUCAGAAAGGAGCAAAUAUCUGGGAAGCGUUUGAAAUAAUGUUCGCAAUGUAUUACAUUUUCAAUGAAUGCUUUCCCAGAGAGAUUGCUUGCACACUGGAAUUUUUCCAGCGAUACGUGUUAAAAAUACAUCCAACAGAUGGAACAAAAAAUAUGAAAAGAAGUGUGUCCAAUGUAAUAUGAAAGUUUUGGGCUUAAUGAAGAAAAUAAAAAAAAUAUUUUUUUGUGAACAAUGCGUGUUUGUACUUUUAAAAUUUUAAAACAUUCAAAAUUAAACAAAUUUUGAAUUAAACAAAAAAAAAUCAACAAAUUUUAAAUUAAACAACUGAAAAUUAAACAAUUUGAGAAUUAAACAAAAAAAAUUAAACAACUUUAAAAUUAAACAAAAAAAAUUCAACAAUAUUAAAAUUCAACAAAUUGAAAUUCAACAAUUUUUAA
This is a long non-coding RNA of Phlebotomus papatasi, 1064 nucleotides long. RefSeq lists it as uncharacterized. Lineage: Eukaryota; Metazoa; Arthropoda; Insecta; Diptera; Psychodidae. The record is from RefSeq and is a predicted model, not a curated record. The transcript has 4 exons.